Molecule: ribosomal RNA, 299 nt
Filed under: Acanthamoeba genotype T4
Lineage: Eukaryota; Discosea; Longamoebia; Acanthamoebidae
Description: partial 18S ribosomal RNA
Rfam family: Eukaryotic small subunit ribosomal RNA
Source: RNAcentral
UUGGCAGCGCGAGGACUAGGGUAAUGAUUAAUAGGGAUAGUUGGGGGCAUUAAUAUUUAAUUGUCAGAGGUGAAAUUCUUGGAUUUAUGAAAGAUUAACUUCUGCGAAAGCAUCUGCCAAGGAUGUUUUCAUUAAUCAAGAACGAAAGUUAGGGGAUCGAAGACGAUCAGAUANCGUCGUAGUCUUAACCAUAAACGAUGCCGACCAGCGAUUAGGAGACGUUGAAUACAAAACACCACCAUCGGUGCGGUCGUCCUUGGCGUCGGUCUUUCGGGGCCGGCGCGGGGACGGCUUAGCCC